Molecule: ribosomal RNA, 372 nt
Filed under: uncultured organism
Description: bacterial SSU rRNA
Rfam family: Bacterial small subunit ribosomal RNA
Source: RNAcentral
CAGAGGGGGCAAGCGUUGUUCGGAAUUACUGGGCGUAAAGGGCGCGUAGGCGGCCUUCUAAGUCGAACGUGAAAUCCCUGGGCUCAACCCAGGAACUGCGUCCGAUACUGGAGGGCUUGAAUCCGGGAGAGGGAUGCGGAAUUCCAGGUGUAGCGGUGAAAUGCGUAGAUAUCUGGAGGAACACCGGUGGCGAAGGCGGCAUCCUGGACCGGUAUUGACGCUGAGGCGCGAAAGCCAGGGGAGCAAACGGGAUUAGAUACCCCGGUAGUCCUGGCCCUAAACGAUGAAUGCUUGGUGUGGCGGGUAUCGAUCCCUGCCGUGCCGAAGCUAACGCAUUAAGCAUUCCGCCUGGGGAGUACGGUCGCAAGGCUG